This 1661-nucleotide long non-coding RNA is filed under the name Coffea arabica (coffee). Its description in RNAcentral is "long non-coding RNA (CARA_LNC007837)". Lineage: Eukaryota; Viridiplantae; Streptophyta; Magnoliopsida; Gentianales; Rubiaceae. The record is from RNAcentral.
GGCAGCUUAAUUUUUCUUUCCUUUGCUUUGCUAGUUGCUCUGAGAGUCUGAAGCAAGCAAUUAGAAGUUCGAAGUUCAAGCUUCGAAGUGGAACUCCAGAAUUCUUCCACGAAGCUGCCGCUGCCAUUGAAGGCUUGAAGCUUUGUUGCCGUUAAGCCACCGAAGCCAGGUAAGCCAAUGAAGCCUUGCUCUGAGAGUCUAAAUGCUUGAACUUGAAGCUUUGUUGCUAGUACUGUGAAGAAUUUUAUAUACUUUUUUAGUUAAGACAAGCACUGUCUUAAAAAAAAAUGCAGAAUACUAGUACUGUCCCUCUAUUUUUUUGACUUGAAAUUGCAGAAUUAUGAGUAAGUAUAUAUGUUAAUCUUAUCUAGAUCUAUCAUUGGGUCCCCUAAUAGCAUUAAUUUGACUAUCCAUUCGAGCUGAAUCGGGAAGAAAACAAAUUGCAGUAGGAUGAAGUUCUUUCAUUGAGGAGUUGGCUGGUUUUAAUCAUUCGUGUAUUUGACAAAGGUGAAAGUGCCACGUACGGGAGUCAGGCUUGUCUUUGUGGACUAAAUGGUAAACCCAAAAGAGUUGAUAUAUUACAAUAACCAGUGAGAUAUGUGGAGACCUUACCAAACCUAUACCAAACAAUUAGCAUCAUGCGGCAAUGCCAAGUUGACAAAAUGUUAGUACAUAAAUGAAUCUACCAUGAAAAUUUUUUGUUUUCUUUCUUUUGUUUUCUUCUUAAGUUUAAGAGAAACUUUAAAUUGUUAAUGAACUAAGAAUUGGUCUAAAAAAAGUUUAAAACUUGCAAGAACUAGGUUUGAUUUUAAGAUUCUCAAAUUAUAUGUUCGAGAUAUCAAGUUAUUAUCAACUAAUUAUCAAGUUAUUCUCAAAUUAUAUUACACAGCUUCCCUGUGUAAUCACCACUGAAGGUGGAACGCAUCAAAGCUUCCAUGUGUGUCAAUUACAAUCAUUUCUAACAUGUUUGAAUCAGUUAGAUACAAACUCGAAUGGAUUGCUUGAUUUUGAGGAGUUUGGGACUAUGAUGGUUUUCCAGUUCUUGAUGGUCAAAAAAUUAAUUAGCAAUUGUUUCUUCCUACCGCUAAAGAAAUCUUAUCAUUUCAUUAUAUGCGUGUGUACAUAAAUUUGUGAUUUUGGGAUGAAUUUUAUUGCAUUAAGAUUUAAUGAACCAAUAUAUUCUUUGGUUUCUCCAGUUCCUUUUUUGAUACAUAUAAUGACUUGCUGGUAGAAGGCACGAUAUCAUUGCUAAAAAUUUCAAGAAAUCAUAUUGGACCAAAUUUGGACCAAAUUUCGUUUUUGGCUAAAUAUUAUCCAAAUUUAGUGAAUGAUUCAUUGAUUUUUGUACUUAUGUAGAUGAAACUCUAAAUUUGGAUGAUUUGGACACUGGAGAUGAAGAUGAGACCAAUAAUGAAGAGAAUGUGGAAAGAAAUGUUCUUAAUGUGGGCUGUGAUGUAAAUGAACUUAGUGGUACUGAAUUUGGCAGAAGUUGGGAACCAUGGGCAUGAAUAAUAGAUGGAGUGAACUACUCAAGUGAUAAUUGUGGUGUUGUUUAUGUUCAUGACUUUAUGUUUGGUUGUAUUGAAUUUGUCGUUUAUGACUUAUGUUUCAUGGUUUGAUACUUAUAUUUAUGUGUGUGAAAUGAAUUAUGAACUAUGAAC